CCAGAUGAAUUAAUGUCCCCUUCAAGAACUCUUCUGGAUAAUUUUUUGUGCCAAAAAAAAGAGAAAAAAGAACAGGAGAGAGGAGGAAGGAAGAUGAAAGGAAUAACGGCAUUUUAUGAUUUAUUGGGAUUUGAGAAUCAUUGUUUCAUUUUACAUAUUGCUGGAGGAAGGAAAAAACAAAACCCAGCACUGGUACUAUCCUUGCUAGCUUCUCUUUAAGUAUUUUUGUUUAGUAUCCACUAUACUAUUGGUUAUUGUUCCGUCUUAUGAGACAAGAUUAACUGAGGUUACUAAUGUCAAGAGCGAAAAUAUCUAAUCUUUCUCUGGCUGAGUGGACAUUUGCUUAUUGCCUACCCAGCAUCCACUGCUCUUUCUGUCUUCAGAGAGCACCUAGAUCUUCUAUGGGGGAAACUAGCCGAUACUCUUUGAGCGGGAUUUACCUCAUCCGUGCCUGCAGGUGUGGCCUUACUGUGAUGACAGUCAGUGUAACCCCAUCCGUUUGCCAUGCUGACCAGUUUAGGGAGAGUGAUAUAUAUGUUUAUUGCUGUAUACUAAUUUUGUAGCUGAGAACUUAUUUUAUUGUAUUUCUUUACUGUUUAUAAGAUUUUCUCAGGUUUUCCGAGUAUACAAUAAUAUCAUCUAUAAAUUAUGAGAUUGUACAUUUUAUCUUUUUUUUAAAAGAUCUUAUUUAUUUAUUUGACAGAGAGAGAGAGAACAAGCAGGGGGAGCAGCAGAGAGAGGGAGAGAAGCAGGCUUCUUGCUGAGCAGGGAGCCCGAUGGGGGAUUUGAUCCCAAGACCCUGGGAUCAUGACCUGAGCUGAAGGCAGACGCUUAACCGACAGAGCCAGCUAGGUGUCCCAUAUCUCUUGUUUUUUUUCUAACUGCAUUAGCUAGUACCUCUAAAAAAAAAAGUUAAAUAAUGAUCAGUAUUAACCUCUAUACCAUCCUUAUGUUUUUCCUGACUAUAGUGAGGAAGUUUGUAGUAUUUACCUAUCCAGCAAAAUGCUAGAUUUAGGGUUUAGGCAAUUACAUCUUAUCACAUUAAGGAAAUAACAGUCUUAUUUUAUUAGGAAGUUUCUUUUCUUUUUUUUUUUUUAAGAUUUUAUUUAUUUAUUUGACAGAGAGAGAUCACAAGUAGAUGGAGAGGCAGGCAGAGAGAGAGAGAGAGAGAGAGAGAGAGAGAAGCGGGCCCCCUGCUGAGCAGAGAGCCCGAUGCGGGACUCGAUCCCAGGACCCUGAGAUCAUGACCUGAGCCGAAGGCAGUGGCUUAACCCACUGAGCUACCCAGGCGUCCCUCUUUUCUUUUUUUUUAAAGAUUUAUUUAUUUAUUUAUUUAUUUUAAUUUUUUUUUUUUUUGAGAUUUUAUUUAUUUGUCAGGGAUAGAGGGAGAGAGAGCGAGUGAGCACAGGCAGACAGAGAGGCAGGCAGAGGCAGAGGGAGAAGCAGGCUCCCUGCCGAGCAAGGAGCCUGAUGUGGGACUCGAUCCCAGGAUACUGGGAUCAUGACCUGAGCCGAAGGCAGCGCUUAACCAACUGAGCCACCCAGGCGUCCCUUAUUUAUUUUUUUGACAGGCAGAGAUAUCACAAGUAGGCAGAGAGGCAGGCAGAGAGAGAGAGAGAGAGAGAGAAGAGGGAGCAGGCUCCCUGCUAACCAGAGAAUUCAACGUGGGGCUCGAUCCUAGGACCCUGGGAUCAUGACCUGAACCAAAGGCAGAGGCUUUAACCCACUGAGCCACCCAGGCACCCCUGGAAGCUUAUUUUCUUAAACCGCUAAUGCCUUAAUGGCGUAUAUAUAAGUUAUUUUAUUAUUUUUUCCUUGCAUUUAUUAAUGUAAUGAAUUACUCUUUUAGAUUUUCUAAUAUUAUCUUUGCAUUUUUAAAAUAAACCUUACUAUGUCUGGUAUAUUAUAAUCUUAUUGCACUACUGAAUUCUACUUAACAAUUUUUUAAAGGAAUUUUACAGUCAGUCAUAAUUGAGAUUGGUCCGUGUGUCUUUUUUAAUGCAAUCUUGCAUUCACUAAAUUUAUUUAAGGGAUUUCCUUGCUUUAAUGCUCUGAAACAUUUUAGAUAGCAUUAGAGCUAUCUGUUUCCUCUGAAUUUUCUAUGAAACCUGUGGGCCUGAUUUUUUUUAUCAAGAGGAGGGAAAAGAGGACUACAUUUUUUGCUGUGUUAUUUCACUGUGUUAUUAUUUCUGUAGGGAAUUGUUCUAUUCAAAUUUCCUGUCUCUUGCACAGUUAGUUUUGGUAAAUUAUAUUUACCUGGCUAUAGUACACCUAAAUAAUAUCAUAAAUAAGAUAGUCCUUAUUGUUAAAAUAAGGAUUAUAAACUCUUUGCAAAUGUCCAUUCAUCUAUGCAUCCCUGUCUUCAACUUUCUUUUCAUACAUUAUAAAGUGCCCUCUGACUCUUGAUUCCUUCUGCAUGAGUCGAUUCUUUUCCUGUCUUAUUCUUUGUAUUUAUGCUUUCUCUGUUAUUAAGAUUAAUUAACAGUUUGUAUGAUAUUGUUACUAUGUUUUUAUUAAAAAUAGCUUUUGCAUAUGUGUAUUAGUUUUACUAUCAUUACAUUUUCAAAAUUAUUAAUUUUGACUUAUCUCUGUCAAUCCUUCUCUUUCCUUAAGAUUAAUUUGUAUUUAAUUUUUUAACUUUUUAAUUGAUAUAUUUUUAUUGUUUCUUUUUUGUUAACGGAAGUAUUUUACAACUAUAAAGUUACCUUUGUGUACUGCCUUACUUGUGUUUCAUUGGUUCUGAUUUAGCUUUUCAUAAUUGUUAUUUCCCAUACAGCAUCCAAAUUUCAUUUGAUUUCAUUAGUACCCAAGAGUUAAGAGAGAUCCUUAUUUUCAAAUUUCUAGAUAAUAGUAGUGGUAGAAGUUAGCAUAAUCUGGUUUUGCUAUUAAUUUUUACUCUUACUGCAUUGUGAUCAGUGUUAUCCAACUUUUUCCUUUCUGCAAUUUAUUGAGUUUUUCUUUAUGGAUUAAUACAGUCAAUUUUUAUUAAUUUCCUAUGGGCACUUGAGGAUAUAUUUUGCUUUAAUAAUAAGGAUUAUCUCAUGAUAUUAUUUAAGUGUCCUAUAAUCUUACUCGUUUUUUGUCUUCUUGAUCUGUUGUGAACUGAAGUGAUGAAUUUUCCACCACUAAUGUGUUUCCAUUUCUUAUUGCAUCACCUUCUAUUUUUGCUUUAUAAAUGUUAAUGCUAUUUUAUUUGAUAGCAUAUAUAAAUUAUUCAUUUUCUCCUAUGAACUAUACCCUGGAAUGUCAUAAAGGGCUCUAUUUUUUUCAUUUGAUAGUUUUUGGCCUGAAUCCAGCCUUUUCUAGUAUAAGAUCACCAUUUCUGUUUCUUUUUGUUUGCAUUUGCAUGAUUUACUUGGCCCCAUCCUUUUAUUUUUAUCCUUACUACUUUGUUUUAGGUAGAUCCCUUAGAGUCAGUGCUGAAUUUGCUCUAUGAUACAAUCAAAAUGUACUUUUCUUUUAAUGAGUUUAGCCCAUUUAUAUACAAUGAUUUAACAGCUAUAUUUGGUCUCAAUUUUUUAUUUUUAUUUUUUAUUUUUCAAUAAUCUCUACAACGUGGGGCUCAAAUUUACAAUCCUGAGAUUGAGAGUCACGUGCUUUACUGACUAAGCCAGCCAGGCACCCCGGUCUAGUUUUUUAAUGUUAUUUUUUAAUUGCUUUUCAUAUUUUAAAAAGUCACUAGUAGUCAGUUUCUUGUGAUUUUUUCCUUGUGUAUUUCUUCUGCUAAAUAGGAAGACUUGUAUCAUUCUAGUUAAUAUCUUUACAAUACAACUCUACAUGAUGCCCCAAUCCUUUGUUUGUAGAUAUAUCUACUAUUUUACUACCAUAAGCAUUGGUUAAAUGAAUAUUUUCUCUUCCACCCCUACUUCUUCUCUACUACACAAUUUUAUAUUGUAUUUAUCCAUUGACUUUGAGCUAUUAAAGGUAAGGAAAUCAGCACAUUUAUAUGCAAUUUACUUUUUCUUUCCACCUUGUGACUCUUGUUAGUUUUUCAUUUUUGCAUUGUCAGGCAUAUAAGAUUUAUAUUUUGUCCUAUUACCUUAAUCCACAUACUGUUUUACUCUCAGAUAAAUAUAUUCAUUGCUCCC
Mustela lutreola (European mink) is the source of this 4088-nucleotide long non-coding RNA. RefSeq lists it as uncharacterized. The record is from RefSeq and is a predicted model, not a curated record. The transcript is spliced from 2 exons. Lineage: Eukaryota; Metazoa; Chordata; Mammalia; Carnivora; Mustelidae.